UAUUUAGGACAAUUGGGCAGUACUGGAAGGCAAAAGAGAUAAGGGCCAAGAGUGGUCAGUGGUUAGCAUGCUCGACUAUGGAUUUGUGGAUCCAUCAUUCGCACAACGUUUAGUCAAUAAAAGAAAAUACAAAAAAAAAAAAAAUAUAAUCGUUCUCCGCACUUUGAGUUUGAGGCCGUGGAUAUAUAUUAUAAGGUACAUUUUGUAACAUCUAUUUGCACUGACAAACAUACAGCGAGGGAACUCAACAAUUACAAGGAGGAGAGCUGGUGCUAUACUUCUCUAGCGUUUUGAAAUCUGGUGGAAGAAUAAAAUAAAAACAGUAUUAAGGAGCCUGUGGACGUAUGAAAUUGGAUUUGGAGUAGAAGGUUUCGUUCAUAUUACUUUCCAAGAUAGUCCUUGUAGAUCACUGA
Molecule: long non-coding RNA, 413 nt
Organism: Limulus polyphemus (Atlantic horseshoe crab)
Lineage: Eukaryota; Metazoa; Arthropoda; Merostomata; Xiphosura; Limulidae
Exons: 4
Source: RefSeq, a predicted model, not a curated record